This is a long non-coding RNA of Corvus hawaiiensis (hawaiian crow), 115 nucleotides long. RefSeq lists it as uncharacterized. The record is from RefSeq and is a predicted model, not a curated record. The transcript has 5 exons. Lineage: Eukaryota; Metazoa; Chordata; Aves; Passeriformes; Corvidae.
GGUCAACUCAAAGCCUUCCCUUUUCCAGGCUGAAAAGUCUCAAUUCUCUCAGCAUUUCCUCAUAGAAGAGGUUUUCCAUCCCUCUGAUCAAUUUGGUGGCCUCCAUCUGGACACA